Molecule: long non-coding RNA, 471 nt
Filed under: Gossypium barbadense (sea-island cotton)
Lineage: Eukaryota; Viridiplantae; Streptophyta; Magnoliopsida; Malvales; Malvaceae
Description: long non-coding RNA (GBAR_LNC008419)
Source: RNAcentral
AGACCACCUCCAUGGAUAAAUCAACUGGAGUCAAACCACAACACCGCGGAUUAAUGACCACCCACACUACUAUAUAUUGAUAGCUACACUAGAAUCUUGCAGGUAUGUGUGAAAUUCGAGAGAGUUACGUGGAAAUGAAGCGUGAAGCAAGAAGAUAAAGGAAGAAUAGUUGUCAAGGAUGAUCUAACUAAAUGGUCCAGAAAAGAUGUGAAUUCAACUGAGAAGCUACACAGCAUUUAGAAGGAAUGCCAAAAGUAGCCAUGGACAAAGAGCAAAAACAAGCUGUACACAAAUAGAAAGAAAGAAAGAACACAUACUGCAGGCAUAUCAUCAAAAAGUAUUUCAGCUUAUGGUUCUUGCUCAACCUUCCUGUCAUUGUCAGCAAUAAUCUUUCCACAUAAAGCAUCAUUCUGAACCUUGAGUACCUUAUUUUCAAUUUUUAGCUUUGCAUUCUCCUCCAAAAUCUGCGGU